RNAcentral lists this ribosomal RNA (551 nucleotides) under uncultured bacterium. RNAcentral's name for it is "bacterial SSU rRNA". It matches the Rfam family "Bacterial small subunit ribosomal RNA", at positions 961 to 1512 of the family's 1533-position model. The record is from RNAcentral.
GCGAAAAACCUUACCCACCUUUGACAUGUACGGAAUCCUUUAGAGAUAGAGGAGUGCUCGAAAGAGAGCCGUAACACAGGUGCUGCAUGGCUGUCGUCAGCUCGUGUCGUGAGAUGUUGGGUUAAGUCCCGCAACGAGCGCAACCCUUGUCAUUAGUUGAUACAUUCAGUUGGGCACUCUAAUGAGACUGCCGGUGACAAACCGGAGGAAGGUGGGGAUGACGUCAAGUCCUCAUGGCCCUUAUAGGGGGGGCUACACACGUCAUACAAUGGAUGGUACAAAGGGUCGCCAACCCGCGAGGGGGAGCCAAUCCCAUAAAGCCAUUCGUAGUCCGGAUCGCAGUCUGCAACUCGACUGCGUGAAGUCGGAAUCGCUAGUAAUCGUGGAUCAGAAUGUCACGGUGAAUACGUUCCCGGGUCUUGUACACACCGCCCGUCACACCAUGGGAGCGGGUUCUGCCAGAAGUAGUUAGCCUAACCGCAAGGAGGGCGAUUACCACGGCAGGGUUCGUGACUGGGGUGAAGUCGUAACAAGGUAGCCGUAUCGGAAGG